GAUGAACGCUGGCGGCGUGCCUAAUACAUGCAAGUCGAGCGAACAGACGAGGAGCUUGCUCCUCUGACGUUAGCGGCGGACGGGUGAGUAACACGUGGAUAACCUACCUAUAAGACUGGGAUAACUUCGGGAAACCGGAGCUAAUACCGGAUAAUAUAUUGAACCGCAUGGUUCAAUAGUGAAAGACGGUUUUGCUGUCACUUAUAGAUGGAUCCGCGCCGCAUUAGCUAGUUGGUAAGGUAACGGCUUACCAAGGCAACGAUGCGUAGCCGACCUGAGAGGGUGAUCGGCCACACUGGAACUGAGACACGGUCCAGACGCCUACGGGAGGCAGCAGUAGGGAAUCUUCCGCAAUGGGCGAAAGCCUGACGGAGCAACGCCGCGUGAGUGAUGAAGGGCUUCGGAUCGUAAAACUCUGUUAUUAGGGAAGAACAAAUGUGUAAGUAACUAUGCACGUCUGGACGGUACCUAAUCAGAAAGCCACGGCGAACUACGG
Molecule: ribosomal RNA, 496 nt
Filed under: uncultured bacterium
Lineage: Bacteria
Description: partial 16S ribosomal RNA
Rfam family: Bacterial small subunit ribosomal RNA
Source: RNAcentral